GAGGAAUAUUGGUCAAUGGGCGCGAGCCUGAACCAGCCAAGUAGCGUGCAGGAUGACGGCCCUAUGGGUUGUAAACUGCUUUUGUAUGGGGAUAAAGUCAAUCACGUGUGAUUGUUUGCAGGUACCAUACGAAUAAGGACCGGCUAAUUCCGUGCCAGCAGCCGCGGUAAUACGGAAGGUCCGGGCGUUAUCCGGAUUUAUUGGGUUUAAAGGGAGCGUAGGCCGGAGAUUAAGUGUGUUGUGAAAUGUAGACGCUCAACGUCUGACUUGCAGCGCAUACUGGUUUUCUUGAGUACGCACAACGUUGGCGGAAUUCGUCGUGUAGCGGUGAAAUGCUUAGAUAUGACGAAGAACUCCGAUUGCGAAGGCAGCUGACGGGAGCGCAACUGACGCUUAAGCUCGAAGGUGCGGGUAUCGAACAGGAUUAGAUACCCUGGUAGUCCGCACAGUAAACGAUGGAUGCCCGCUGUUGGUACCUGGUAUCAGCGGCUAAGCGAAAGCAUUAAGCAUCCCACCUGGGGAGUACGCCGGCAACGGUG
This 539-nucleotide ribosomal RNA is filed under the name uncultured bacterium. Its description in RNAcentral is "bacterial SSU rRNA". It matches the Rfam family "Bacterial small subunit ribosomal RNA", at positions 356 to 896 of the family's 1533-position model. The record is from RNAcentral.